RNAcentral lists this ribosomal RNA (410 nucleotides) under uncultured bacterium. RNAcentral describes it as "bacterial SSU rRNA". It matches the Rfam family "Bacterial small subunit ribosomal RNA", at positions 355 to 775 of the family's 1533-position model. The record is from RNAcentral.
UCGAGGAUCUUCGGCAAUGGGCGCAAGCCUGACCGAGCGACGCCGCGUGGAGGAUGAAGGCCUUCGGGUUGUAAACUCCUAUCGAGGGGGAUCAAGGGGCAACCUUGAGUGAUCCCUGGAGGAAGCACGGGCUAAGUUCGUGCCAGCAGCCGCGGUAAGACGAACCGUGCGAACGUUGUUCGGAAUCACUGGGCAUAAAGGGCGCGUAGGCGGCUUAUCAAGUCAGGGGUGAAAUCCGGCAGCUUAACUGUCGAAGUGCCCUUGAUACUGAUGAGCUCGAGGGAGAUAGGGGUGUGUGGAACUUCCGGUGGAGCGGUGAAAUGCGUUGAUAUCGGAAGGAACGCCGGUGGCGAAAGCGACACACUGGAGCUCUUCUGACGCUGAGGCGCGAAAGCCAGGGGAGCAAACGG